AGAAAAACAAUAUAUUUUCUAUUUAUUCUAUUGCAAUUUGCUGACUGAAGCAUCUUACUAAAUAUCGGAACAUGAGGAUGAAAGGGACAACUGAGAACAGUAGUCUUAUGAAAUUGAGGAAACUAAUCGUCGAACCAUGCGAAAUGACGUUUCCAUGCGGUAUUAUGUUUCUUCGCUUCCUUUACUACUUGACUGGACAAACUUUAUUUAGUCAGAAUUUAUCGUGAAAUGAAUAAAUUUUCCGGGAUUUUUUAGUUACGUUGGCAACCAUUAUGAUAUUCUUAAUCGAUAUUCGCGUUCCAGUCUCUGUGUGUUUCCAGGUCGCGGUUACGCGGUAAUACUUUACUUUCCUCGAUGUUGGUAGCAUCGCUUGUUUCGGAAGCAAGAUGUGCACUCGCUUCGUUCAAUAACACGCUGCUCGUUUCUAGGCUUCAUUAGUAGCUUGAAAUAGAUUCGUAUUGUUGAAUUUAACUUUCGAUCGAUUCCUUUGUACGAGACUAAAGUGUAUAAAGAUUACUCGUAUUUUUAUUAUUGUCUGUCAUUACUUUUAGAAUAAACACGUUAGAAUAGCCACAUAAUACAUGCAUUGAAAUACGUUAAAUGUGUUGCCACGUGAAGAAAAGUGAAAACAUUGUGAAUUAACUGUGUUAUAUUAUGACAAAAGGAUCGUAAAAAUAAUUAGAUGUAUAUCGAAUUUGUUGAAAAUACACAAAAUGAGAAUUGAAAUUUAAUUGCAAGCAGCGUAUCUAUCUACUUGUAUAACUAUAGAAAGAGAAGGAGGACGGACAUGGAAGGGGUUCGAACUUCCCGUCUAUUCUUCAGCAUGUUAGUUCUGCGGUUCACGAACGAGCACAUGUCGAUUGUUCGCAAGAGGAUCGCAAUAUUUCGCUCUUUCGCUUUCUUCUCGUACGAGAUAUAUUAUUGUUACGUUUUAGAAAGCAAAUUCACGAGCCUUGGUGAGGAUAAAUCCUUUUUUCGUUACAUACUUGGCGUAUUAUCCUCGCAAAUGAAUUAUUCCAUAGAUUGACAAAGAAUCGUUAAAAAAGUAUUUCUUGAAAGUUUGUCACGUGACCUUGAAUGACGUCACAGAGGCCAAUAGGAAACCUUCCAAACGGCGUUAUAACCCGAACUACCGGAGCAAGAGUUCGUGUGACGUCAUCUGCGCAGUAGAGCCAUGCGCAUCCGUCUGUGUCCAACGACGUGACCGAGGUAGAAUCAAUUGUAGAUUUGCAAUAAAAGUCUUUCUCCCUUCGAUCCUUCCAUCAUUAAGUUGAAGAUUCGGCACAUUAGGGAACAGGAAGGCUCGAAUAGUCAUGCCGUGCAACAGGGGGAAGUAUCUUCUUCGAAUCCUAACAUACUGUCCAACGAUCAAGUUGGUCCUAUUUUACUUGAGGUAUAAUUCAAUUUAAAUCGAAUUCCAUCAAUCUAUUUUAUCUUUGUUGUUUGCGUUCAUCGGUGUAUAUAAGACAUAAUCAGAAGGAACAUUUUUAUUCUGUUUAUUGACGAUUUAAGAGCAAAUAGGCAAAGUCCAUUGAACCUAAUUCGAUAAAUAUUUUAUCGGAAUUAAUUAUCCUUAAAUUUGAAUCGAUAUAAUUAAAUUUUAAAUUCUUUUUUUAAUAUCGAGAAAGAAAAAUAUAUAUAU
This 1642-nucleotide unclassified non-coding RNA is filed under the name Apis florea (little honeybee). RNAcentral's name for it is "uncharacterized LOC105735872, transcript variant X7". Lineage: Eukaryota; Metazoa; Arthropoda; Insecta; Hymenoptera; Apidae. The record is from RNAcentral.